Molecule: non-coding RNA, 29 nt
Filed under: Rattus norvegicus (Norway rat)
Lineage: Eukaryota; Metazoa; Chordata; Mammalia; Rodentia; Muridae
Source: RNAcentral
GCAGAGGCAGGUGAAUCUCUGGAGUCCAG